ACGGAUCCUUCGGGAUUAGUGGCGGACGGGUGAGUAACACGUGGGAACGUGCCUUUUGGUUCGGAAUAACUCAGGGAAACUUGUGCUAAUACCGAAUGUGCCCUUCGGGGGAAAGAUUUAUCGCCAUUAGAGCGGCCCGCGUCUGAUUAGCUAGUUGGUGAGGUAAGGGCUCACCAAGGCUACGAUCAGUAGCUGGUCUGAGAGGAUGACCAGCCACAUUGGGACUGAGACACGGCCCAAACUCCUACGGGAGGCAGCAGUGGGGAAUCUUGCGCAAUGGGCGAAAGCCUGACGCAGCCAUGCCGCGUGAAUGAUGAAGGUCUUAGGAUUGUAAAAUUCUUUCACCGGGGACGAUAAUGACGGUACCCGGAGAAGAAGCCCCGGCUAACUUCGUGCCAGCAGCCGCGGUAAUACGAAGGGGGCUAGCGUUGCUCGGAAUUACUGGGCGUAAAGGGAGCGUAGGCGGACAUUUAAGUCAGGGGUGAAAUCCCAGAGCUCAACUCUGGAACUGCCUUUGAUACUGGGUGUCUUGAGUGUGAGAGAGGUAUGUGGAACUCCGAGUGUAGAGGUGAAAUUCGUAGAUAUUCGGAAGAACACCAGUGGCGAAGGCGACAUACUGGCUCAUUACUGACGCUGAGGCUCGAAAGCGUGGGGAGCAAACAGGAUUAGAUACCCUGGUAGUCCACGCCGUAAACGAUGAUUGCUAGUUGUCGGGGAGUUUACUCUUCGG
RNAcentral lists this ribosomal RNA (730 nucleotides) under uncultured bacterium. RNAcentral describes it as "bacterial SSU rRNA". It matches the Rfam family "Bacterial small subunit ribosomal RNA", at positions 66 to 843 of the family's 1533-position model. The record is from RNAcentral.